GGUGAGUGCUUUGGGGUGGGGUGACUGCGUACCUUUUGUAUAAUGGGUCAGCGACUUAUAUUCUGUAGCAAGGUUAACCGUAUAGGGGAGCCGAAGGGAAACCGAGUCUUAACUGGGCGUUAAGUUGCAGGGUAUAGACCCGAAACCCGGUGAUCUAGCCAUGGGCAGGUUGAAGGUUGGGUAACACUAACUGGAGGACCGAACCGACUAAUGUUGAAAAAUUAGCGGAUGACUUGUGGCUGGGGGUGAAAGGCCAAUCAAACCGGGAGAUAGCUGGUUCUCCCCGAAAGCUAUUUAGGUAGCGCCUCGUGAACUCAUCUUCGGGGGUAGAGCACUGUUUCGGCUAGGGGGUCAUCCCGACUUACCAACCCGAUGCAAACUGCGAAUACCGAAGAAUGUUAUCACGGGAGACACACGGCGGGUGCUAACGUCCGUCGUGAAGAGGGAAACAACCCAGACCGCCAGCUAAGGUCCCAAAGUCACAGUUAAGUGGGAAACGAUGUGGGAAGGCUCAGACAGCCAGGAUGUUGGCUUAGAAGCAGCCAUCAUUUAAAGAAAGCGUAAUAGCUCACUGGUCGAGUCGGCCUGCGCGGAAGAUGUAACGGGGCUAAACUGUGCACCGAAGCUGCGGCAGCGACGCUUAUGCGUUGUUGGGUAGGGGAGCGUUCUGUAAGCCUGCGAAGGUGUCCUGUGAGGGAUGCUGGAGGUAUCAGAAGUGCGAAUGCUGACAUAAGUAACGAUAA
This 743-nucleotide ribosomal RNA is filed under the name Salmonella enterica subsp. enterica serovar Kentucky. RNAcentral's name for it is "partial 23S ribosomal RNA". It matches the Rfam family "Bacterial large subunit ribosomal RNA", at positions 573 to 1315 of the family's 2925-position model. Lineage: Bacteria; Pseudomonadati; Pseudomonadota; Gammaproteobacteria; Enterobacterales; Enterobacteriaceae. The record is from RNAcentral.